UCAAUUUAUCAUAAGAAAAUGAGUUUAAUUGUUAAUUAAAAAAUAUUAUUAGUAUAAUAAUUGAAAU
RNAcentral lists this transfer RNA (67 nucleotides) under Didemnum vexillum. Its description in RNAcentral is "tRNA-Asn". Lineage: Eukaryota; Metazoa; Chordata; Ascidiacea; Aplousobranchia; Didemnidae. The record is from RNAcentral.